RNAcentral lists this transfer RNA (84 nucleotides) under Thalassiosira oceanica. It matches the Rfam family "tRNA". Rfam says of the family: Transfer RNA (tRNA) molecules are approximately 80 nucleotides in length. Their secondary structure includes four short double-helical elements and three loops (D, anti-codon, and T loops). Further hydrogen bonds mediate the characteristic L-shaped molecular structure. tRNAs have two regions of fundamental functional importance: the anti-codon, which is responsible for specific mRNA codon recognition, and the 3' end, to which the tRNAs corresponding amino acid is attached (by aminoacyl-tRNA synthetases). tRNAs cope with the degeneracy of the genetic code in two manners: having more than one tRNA (with a specific anti-codon) for a particular amino acid; and 'wobble' base-pairing, i.e. permitting non-standard base-pairing at the 3rd anti-codon position. The record is from Rfam by way of RNAcentral. Lineage: Eukaryota; Bacillariophyta; Thalassiosirophyceae; Thalassiosirales; Thalassiosiraceae.
ACCAAAAUGAUGGAAUUGGUAGACAUACUAGGUUUAGGUUCUAGUUCUUUUUUUAGAGUAUGGGUUCGAGUCCCUUUUUUGGUA